GAUGAACGCUGGCGGCGUGCUUAACACAUGCAAGUCGAACGGAAAGGCCGAAGCUUGCUUCGGUACUCGAGUGGCGAACGGGUGAGUAACACGUGGGUGAUCUGCCCUGUACUUCGGGAUAAGCUUGGGAAACUGGGUCUAAUACCGGAUAUGACGAUCUCUUGGAUGGGGUUGUGGAAAGCUUUUGCGGGAUGGGAUGAGCUCGCGGCCUAUCAGCUUGUUGGUGGGGUAAUGGCCUACCAAGGCGUCGACGGGUAGCCGGCCUGAGAGGGUGUACGGCCACAUUGGGACUGAGAUACGGCCCAGACUCCUACGGGAGGCAGCAGUGGGGAAUAUUGCACAAUGGGCGCAAGCCUGAUGCAGCGACGCCGCGUGGGGGAUGACGGCCUUCGGGUUGUAAACUCCUUUCGCAAUCGACGAAGCCUUUUGGUGACGGUAGGUUGAGAAGAAGCACCGGCUAACUACGUG
This 468-nucleotide ribosomal RNA is filed under the name uncultured bacterium. RNAcentral describes it as "partial 16S ribosomal RNA". It matches the Rfam family "Bacterial small subunit ribosomal RNA", at positions 28 to 507 of the family's 1533-position model. The record is from RNAcentral.